Long non-coding RNA from Aethalodelphis obliquidens (Pacific white-sided dolphin), 3428 nucleotides. RefSeq lists it as uncharacterized. The record is from RefSeq and is a predicted model, not a curated record. NCBI's taxonomy places the organism in Eukaryota, Metazoa, Chordata, Mammalia, Artiodactyla, Delphinidae. The transcript has 3 exons.
AGGCCUGCGCGUCCGGAGCCUGUGCUCCGCAACGGGAGAGGUUACAUCAGUGAGAGGCUCACGUACCGCAAAAAAAACAAAAACAAAAACAGAGAUCACUGAAAAGCCAAAGGGCCUCUAGGAUGUCACACCUCAUGAUGUACAGAGGGCGCAGUGCACUCUACAGAAUUGGGCUUGAAAAGUAAAGAAGGCAGACAGAGUUUCCUCUCUUACUGGAAUCUUCUGGAAACCAUAGCCAUGGGGUAUUCCCGAAUGCCUCACAUCCUUUAAGCAAUGUUUAAUGGCCACCUGUUGCAUGAGGGCUCAUCAGGGGAAAGGACCAUUUCACGACAACCUAGGACCCUGGCCCUAAACUUCGGUGUCCAGGCUAGUGGGGCUGGGCCAUGUGGAGAGUUUGUUUUGCCAGGACAGGAGGUCUUGAGGGCCUGGAAUCCAAGAAUUUCCAGGAGGUCCUUCACCAUGUUCCUGCCAAGUCCGUGGCCACCACACCACAAAAUGGCAGAGCCCAGGUUCAUGUCCUCGAUAAGGAUCCCGUGCCUUUUUCAUUGUGCUGACUCUCUUUGCCAUGGUGGGGCUUUUUAUGGCCUGGUAGGGUAAGGGCCUCAGUGUUCUAGCCGCAGGUGAUGGAGAGACUGCCUGCCUUUGGUUCCUCGAAUCACUGACCUGGGAGCCCCAUCACGUGGGGCCCCAAGCAGAGGCCCCGGGUAGCCACCUCUGGGAUGUCCUAGCUUAGGUGCUGCUGAGAGUUUGUCAAUACUUGUAUCUCCUCUCUGCCUUAAUGAUCAAUGUGUCCAAAGUCACAAACUCAAACCACAGCACAUGGAAAUAAUACUUAUCCUAUGACUGCCAUAAAUGCACUCCAGUGUCUCAAAUGUAUUUCAUCGAUCAUUCUUUAAGGUACAAAAGACGUGUGUCAACAUAGAAACAGUCUCUAUUCUGGGGAAGAAACUCCAUGAAUGUGUGUACUAUUGACUCUCAGUCAAAGAUGCCAUUUUCCUCUUUGCGGGCCAUCGACGUUUUGCACCAAGCCCUCUCUUCUUAGAUAAUUGCACUUUACACUUUGGCAUCACGUUCUGAAGGCUUGAGGCUGAAGUUUCUACUGCCCUUCCACGAGGAGGACAGCCUGUGGUCCCCACAGUGAGAUCUGGUUCUUUCUGCUCAUUCGUGGCGUGACGUGGAGAGCAGGGAGCUGAUUUGCAGAAGGACCGCUUGGUAGACAGGCUAUUCCGGAUUCUGACGACAUGUUGGUGGAUUCAUGCAUGGGUACUCGAGCGCCCACCACAUCAUUUCUGAGCUCUGUCUACUGAGAGGAAGUCAUAUAAACCAGGAUUUCCAUCCACGGGAAGAGCUCAUACCUGAAGAAGUACUCAGCACAGGGUAAGGAGGAAAAUGUGCAAGCUCUACGAUCUGCUCAUUAUAAUUCUAAAUGGAACCAAAGGAAAUAUACAGAGAGGCCGGCAAAGAGUUAUUGUCAAGAAUAUUCACUGAGCGCGAUUUAUAUUGGGGAAAAACUGGGAAAGGCCAAAAGGCCCCCCAGAAGGGAUGGUUAAGUGAAUCAUAGGCUUGUUUUGUGUUAGGAUAUCAUAGAUAAAAGUGGGAAGUUAUAUUUUCACAUAAUGAUCCAUGAUGUGGGAAAAUGGACAAGAUGUAGAGUUAGGUGAAAAUAUUGCAAGUUAUGAAAUCGUACGUAGGGCAUCAGUUGUGAAACCAUAGAGUUGCCUUGGGGACUUUCGUGAAGCGGGGGCUGACUCUGCCUGCGUGCAGAGCUCCUGAUUCAGUAGGUCUGCGGUGGGAACCCAGAAUGUGCACUUCUGCCAAGUUCCAAGCUGAUGCUCUUGCCACUGGUCCAGGGGCUCCACUGAAUUAAACAAUUAUGUGUUUAGAGGGCUGACAAGGACAUCUUUGCUUAUGGGGCAGAGCUUGUCAACACUGGCUGGCGUUCGGACUCCAUGGGGGAACUUUUAAAAAAUGUCAGUGUCCGGUGGGCGCACGAAGUGGUCCAGCCACUGUCAAAAACAGUUGGGCGUUUCCUCGAUGAAAAAUGGAAUUAGCGCACGACCCUACAGUUCCUCCCCUAGUCACGUAUCCAGAAGAACUGAAAACAGGUGCUCAAACAGAUGUACACGAACAGGGCAACUCAGAGUCAGCAAAGGUGAAAACAGCCCGAUGUCUAUCAACAGUUUAAGAGAUCAGGAAAAUGUGGUCUGUGUGUCCAGUGGAACAGUACUCACUGUAAAGGGGUGACACAGGCUACAGCGUGGACAAACCGUGAGAAUAUUAGGCUAAGGGAAAGAAGCUAGACACAGAAGACCAUAUUGUGUAUCAUUCUCCUUACAGGAAAUGUUCAGAAUAGGCAAGUCCUUCGAGACAGAAAGCGGGUGCUAGCGGCUGAGGGCAGGGGGAAUGGAGAGGGACUGCUUAAUCUUACAGGAUUUCUCUGGGGUGAUGAAAAUGUUCAGAAACGUCUUAGUGGUGGUGGUUGUACUGCCUUGUGAAUGUACUGGAAGCUACUGGAUAGUACGUUCGAACGUGGUUAAUUGUAUGUUAUGUGAAUUUUAUCUCACUUUUAAAAGAAUAUCCAGGCAGCAGCGUAGAGCUUCUGAUUUCACAGUUCUGGGAUGAGCCUUCUUUGAAAGCUUCCCGGUUGAUGCCAAGGUGCAGCUGGGAUUGACUGAAAACCACUGGCCGGGUGGGGAUUCCAACAGCAGUAACUCAGGUAGCCUGGAAGGGGGUGAAUGGAGCUUCAGAAGAUGAAGGGGCAGCUUCAGCAGGUGGACUCUGUCCCUUUGCUACCCAAUGUCUGUAUCCCAGCAGUAUCCCCCCGCCUGGGAGCUUGUCAGAAAUGUAGACCCGCCGGCGCCUCCCCAGACCUCCUGAGUCACGGUCUGACUUCUGGCAAGAUCGCAUGGUUUACUACCCGCUGACGCUCCAGGAGCACGGGAGCGAUUGCACGGCCUCUCCAAUGGCGCGUUUCAUGCCAAGAGUUACGAUUCCUUCUCCCGAGACAUGGGGUUUCUAUCGUCCUAGGGGUUUUAGAAACGCUGCUUGUAAGAAAGUGGAUGAAAUUCAUAUCCUCGGGUAUCUCUGAGUCUUCGAGAACCUCACGCGUCUGACUACUCUCCGUGAGCGUUGCAUGGUUUGGUAUGUAUUCCUGUCCCAAACUAUUUGGAAAGUGGGACUCCUUUUGAGGACCACUUUCCGACGCUGACGGAUGCUCGUCCUUUUCUAUAAGGAUAAUGGCAGAAUUGCUGCUUCAGGACCAUUUUGAAUCUUUUGGACCUGCUCCAUCCAGUAGAACUUCAGAAACCACCUUGAAUGUUGUAGAACUCCCAGAGUGACCCUGUCUUUCAGUAUCCAAAGACACUGAGCGAGAAGCGGUAGAUAGAAAUGACCACAGACUUCACCGAAAUGUGCGGCUUUAAGACAAG